CAAUAGCGUAUAUUAAUGUUGUUGCAGUUAAAAAGCUCGUAGUUGGAUUUCUGCGCCGCGCAGCUCGGUCCGCCGCAAUGCGGUGCGACUGUGGCUGGAGCGUCGCAUCCUUGUGGAGACCUUUGAUGCCAUUGAUUUGGUGUCUUAUGGGAACCGCAUCGUUUACUGUGAAAAAAUUAGAGUGUUCAAAGCAGGCAUGCGCCGUGAAUACAUUAGCAUGGAAUAAUAAGAUAGGACUUUGGUUCUAUUUUGUUGGUCGGAGGCCAAGGUAAUGAUUAAUAGGGAUAGUUGGGGGUAUUCAUAUUUAAUUGUCAGAGGUGAAAUUCUUGGAUUUAUGAAAGAUGAACUUAUGCGAAAGCAUUUACCAAGGAUGUUUUCAUUAA
This 383-nucleotide ribosomal RNA is filed under the name uncultured eukaryote. Its description in RNAcentral is "partial 18S ribosomal RNA". It matches the Rfam family "Eukaryotic small subunit ribosomal RNA", at positions 592 to 976 of the family's 1831-position model. The record is from RNAcentral.